GGGUUUUUGCUGGAAAUCAGGUAAGGGGGAGAAAAGGCUAACAAUUAGGUGUAAAGCAUGUGGGGUAGAUGGAGGAACCCUUAACCUCCUUAGGAUUGGGUGUUCUAAAUCUAAAUUCUGAUUUUCAUGUUAUAAUUGUUGAUUGUAUGAUGAAAGUUGUGUGGCUUUUGUAUAUCCUAUGCAUGCAUAUGUUUUAUUUUGAUGUUAUUGAUAAUGUGAUGCCACUGAUUGAUGUUUGAAAGUUUUUACCUUGGUUGUGUUAUUGGUGAUUUAGAGAUGAU
RNAcentral lists this long non-coding RNA (281 nucleotides) under Lathyrus oleraceus (garden pea). RNAcentral's name for it is "Pisum sativum (pea) long non-coding RNA (PSAT_LNC001256)". Lineage: Eukaryota; Viridiplantae; Streptophyta; Magnoliopsida; Fabales; Fabaceae. The record is from RNAcentral.